Long non-coding RNA from Sapajus apella (tufted capuchin), 124 nucleotides. RefSeq lists it as uncharacterized. NCBI's taxonomy places the organism in Eukaryota, Metazoa, Chordata, Mammalia, Primates, Cebidae. The record is from RefSeq and is a predicted model, not a curated record. The transcript has 3 exons.
GACCCAAGGACGCUGAGGCAGAGCAGAAGGGAGGAAAUGGAGGCAUUUCUCAACUGGAGACAUUUGGGCAUAUUUAAAAGCCAAUGGGCAGCCGGGCGCGGUGGCUCAAGCCUGUAAUCCCAGC